This 460-nucleotide ribosomal RNA is filed under the name uncultured bacterium. Its description in RNAcentral is "partial 16S ribosomal RNA". It matches the Rfam family "Bacterial small subunit ribosomal RNA", at positions 338 to 795 of the family's 1533-position model. The record is from RNAcentral.
CCUACGGGUGGCAGCAGUGAGGAAUAUUGGUCAAUGGACGCAAGUCUGAACCAGCCAUGCCGCGUGCAGGAAGACGGCUCUAUGAGUUGUAAACUGCUUUUGUACGAGGGUAAACGCAGAUACGCGUAUCUGUCUGAAAGUAUCGUACGAAUAAGGAUCGGCUAACUCCGUGCCAGCAGCCGCGGUAAUACGGAGGAUUCAAGCGUUAUCCGGAUUUAUUGGGUUUAAAGGGUGCGUAGGCGGUUGGAUAAGUUAGAUGUGAAAUCCCGAGGCUCAACUUCGGAAUUGCAUCUGAUACUGGUCGGCUUGAGAGUAGUUGCGGUAGGCGGAAUGUAUGGUGUAGCGGUGAAAUGCUUAGAGAUCAUACAGAACACCGAUUGCGAAGGCAGCUUACCAAGCUACUUCUGACGUUGAGGCACGAAAGCGUGGGGAGCAAACAGGAUUAGAUACCCCGGUAGUC